CACGCAGUAAACGAUGAAUACUAGCUGUCUGCGAUAUACUGUAGGCGGCACAGCGAAAGCGUUAAGUAUUCCACCUGGGGAGUACGUUCGCAAGAAUGAAACUCAAAGGAAUUGACGGGGGCCCGCACAAGCGGAGGAACAUGUGGUUUAAUUCGAUGAUACGCGAGGAACCUUACCCGGGCUUGAAAUGCAGAAGACCGAAGCGGAAACGCUUCUUCCAGCAAUGGCUUCUGUGUAGGUGC
RNAcentral lists this ribosomal RNA (242 nucleotides) under uncultured Paludibacter sp. RNAcentral's name for it is "partial 16S ribosomal RNA". It matches the Rfam family "Bacterial small subunit ribosomal RNA", at positions 796 to 1041 of the family's 1533-position model. The record is from RNAcentral. Lineage: Bacteria; Pseudomonadati; Bacteroidota; Bacteroidia; Bacteroidales; Paludibacteraceae.